Molecule: long non-coding RNA, 827 nt
Filed under: Monodelphis domestica (gray short-tailed opossum)
Lineage: Eukaryota; Metazoa; Chordata; Mammalia; Didelphimorphia; Didelphidae
Description: lncRNA (ENSMODG00000044532.1)
Source: RNAcentral
CUGGCUAACAACCAACUGAAUCACUUAAGUGCCCCCAGAAAGGACUUUUAAAAGAUACAGAUUAUACUAAGGGCCAUGUUCUCCGUCUGUGAAUGCUUUUUUCUCCUCCUAAAAAAAAUCCUGUGCCAUUUUAUCUGAGAUGAUGUCUUAUUCUUUGUUUACGACUUUGGAAAUUAUUAUACCAAGAGGCAUGAAGGAGACAACUUGAGCAAAUACAAAUGGAGAAAACAGACUACGCCACCCCAAGCAAGGAAACUGAUACUACCCUGAUGCAGGCCCCUAUCAACUUAUACUUGGAGUGGAUUAGGAUGACUUGGUCAUAUAUCCAUAUGCAGCAGGGAAAGAAACAAUUAGGAAGAAGGUAAAGAUUAAAGGAGGAGGAUGACAACAAGGACAAACUACUGGAGAAGAUAAGAGGAACUGGAAUCAAGGAUUCAUGUAGAGCUAUUGACCCUGGUGAGGAGAAAGACCAUCUCUUUAUCAGUGUGAAUUUUAGAUUUACUCCACCCUGCUUAGUCUUUAGAAUUCUAGCAACCAGGAAUGUAUACACGCCCACUUAAGAAUUAAGUGUGGGGGAGGAAGGCCUAUGACCUUCAUGUGCUAGCAAGUGACAAAUCAGAAACAACUGACUGACGCCCUGGGCUGCCCUAAGCCAAGUUUAAGCCACCAUUGGUACAUGUAAGAUACAGGAAGUGAUGUAAAGAACUGCUGUUAUAUUUCACGUCACUUCCUAUGGGACUCGCUCUCUUGGUGGUGUUGGGAGCUUUAGGAGGCAUUUGAAGAGCUUGUGGCUUUGGAGGACUUUGAUGGUGGAGUUUACCAGGAGG